UACGUAGGGCGCAAGCGUUAUCCGGAAUUAUUGGGCGUAAAGAGCUCGUAGGCGGUUUGUCGCGUCUGCCGUGAAAGUCCGGGGCUCAACUCCGGAUCUGCGGUGGGUACGGGCAGACUAGAGUGAUGUAGGGGAGACUGGAAUUCCUGGUGUAGCGGUGAAAUGCGCAGAUAUCAGGAGGAACACCGGUGGCGAAGGCGGGUCUCUGGGCCGAUACUGACACUGAGGAGCGAAAGCGUGGGGAGCGAACAGG
Molecule: ribosomal RNA, 253 nt
Filed under: uncultured bacterium
Lineage: Bacteria
Description: partial 16S ribosomal RNA
Rfam family: Bacterial small subunit ribosomal RNA
Source: RNAcentral